GGCGGAUGUAGCCAAGUGGAUCAAGGCGGUGGAUUGUGA
RNAcentral lists this transfer RNA (39 nucleotides) under Hemidesmus indicus. Its description in RNAcentral is "partial tRNA-His". The record is from RNAcentral. RNAcentral also lists the same sequence under 3 other names. Lineage: Eukaryota; Viridiplantae; Streptophyta; Magnoliopsida; Gentianales; Apocynaceae.